GGACUACCAGGGUUUCUAAUCCUGUUUGCUCCCCUAGCUUUCGUCCCUCAGCGUCAGUUGUGAUCCAGCGAGCCGCUUUCGCCUCGGAUGUUCCUGCGGAUAUCUACGCAUUUCACCGCUACACCCGCAAUUCCACUCGCCUAUCUCACACUCUAGCACGGCAGUUUCGAAAGCAGCCUCUGAGUUAAGCCCAGAGAUUUCACUCCCGACUUACCACACCGCCUACGGACCCUUUACGCCCAGUAAUUCCGAGCAACGCUGGCCCCCUACGUAUUACCGCGGCUGCUGGCAC
Molecule: ribosomal RNA, 292 nt
Filed under: uncultured Acidobacteriota bacterium
Lineage: Bacteria; Pseudomonadati; Acidobacteriota
Description: uncultured Acidobacteria bacterium partial 16S ribosomal RNA
Source: RNAcentral